AGAGUUUGAUCCUGGCUCAGGACGAACGCUGGCGGCGUGCUUAACACAUGCAAGUCACGGGGGCCCGCAAGGGCAACCGGCGAACGGGUGCGUAACACGUGAGCAACCUACCGAGUUGAGGGGGAUAGCCGGCCCAACGGCCGGGUAAUACCGCAUACGCUCAGUUUGGGGAUUCCCAAGCUGAGGAAACCUCCGGGGCAAUUCGAGGGGCUCGCGGCCUAUCAGCUAGUUGGCGGGGUAACGGCCCACCAAGGCAUCGACGGGUAGCUGGUCUGAGAGGAUGGCCAGCCACAUUGGGACUGAGAGACGGCCCAGACUCCUACGGGAGGCAGCAGUGGGGAAUCUUGCGCAAUGGGCGAAAGCCUGACGCAGCGACGCCGCGUGGGGGAUGAAGGGCUUCGGCUUGUAAACCCCUGUUGCCCGGGACGAACUUCUGGUUUUGACCAGAUUGACGGUACCGGGUGAGGAAGCACCGGCUAACUCCGUGCCAGCAGCCGCGGUA
This 502-nucleotide ribosomal RNA is filed under the name uncultured Gemmatimonadota bacterium. RNAcentral describes it as "bacterial SSU rRNA". It matches the Rfam family "Bacterial small subunit ribosomal RNA", at positions 8 to 522 of the family's 1533-position model. The record is from RNAcentral. Lineage: Bacteria; Pseudomonadati; Gemmatimonadota.